RNAcentral lists this transfer RNA (74 nucleotides) under Paramuricea clavata. RNAcentral describes it as "tRNA-Thr". The stretch from base 4 to 69 matches the Rfam family "tRNA". From Rfam's summary of the family: Transfer RNA (tRNA) molecules are approximately 80 nucleotides in length. Lineage: Eukaryota; Metazoa; Cnidaria; Anthozoa; Malacalcyonacea; Plexauridae. The record is from RNAcentral.
GACCGCGUAGCUCAGUUGGCAGACCAUUGGGCUAGUAUUCCAAAGGUCGUAGGUUCGAUUCCCACCGUGAGUCC